Sander lucioperca (pikeperch) is the source of this 2032-nucleotide long non-coding RNA. RefSeq lists it as uncharacterized. The record is from RefSeq and is a predicted model, not a curated record. Lineage: Eukaryota; Metazoa; Chordata; Actinopteri; Perciformes; Percidae. The transcript is spliced from 2 exons.
ACACACAGACAGACAGAGAGACAGAGAGACAGGCACACAGACAGACAGACAGACAAUAAAGGGGGAUUUGUGUGUCGGUUCUGACGCUGAGAGCCAAUGCAAGGGGGUCGACUGCAAGAGCAACAUUAACACUCUGGUACCUAACAGUAAGCACCCAGAUAUUAUAAACAUUCACUCACUACAGAACUAUCUCACCUAUUCUCCAGCCAAAUGUAGUCUGGCCAUCAUUCUUCUCAUGCUAAUAUAGCCAGAGAAAAGUACCAAACCACCUGUUAAAGGCACCACAAUACAGGAAGUGACAUCUGCUCUGUUAGAACCUUUCUGCCCAUGGCUAUAGUUGAUUCUGAUAUGAAGUGACUGACUCCGAUGUGCAUGUCUAUCUAUUCUGCCGGUCUUAAUAUUUAUUGGCUGCUUUGCUUCUGAGUAGAUAACCUUUAACAGCAAGCUGUUUUAUUUCUACAUUAUGCUUUGGAUUGAUGAAUUCAUUCCAUCAGGGGUGUGGAAGACUGAUGGAUAUGCUAAUAUGUAACUCUAUUACAGUAAAUCUUAAGAUCUGACAAAAUUAUCAUUAGGACUGACGGUAAGAUCAUACUGUUUUUUUCAUUUUUAUGUUAAAAAAGAACUGAAAUUAAAUUAAUGUAAAACAAGGCAGGGUGAUUAUUUUCUCCCAAAAUAUCAGGCAAUGUUAGUUUAUUUAUUGAAAAAUAACAAUACCAUAAUAAUAAUAAUAUGGAAAUUAAAUAAAAAAAAAAAAUAGGAUUUGCACCUUUGUAGUUUAAAUAUUGGUGUCAUUCAAUCCCCUUUGACAGACAAAGUAGUAGUGUAGUCCUUUACUGUAAACAGGGGUUGGACAGCAUGAAGCAGCACUUUAAGCCAUGCUUCUCCUCUUUCAAAUUCAUAAAAACAAAAACAAAAACAAAAAAUAAUAAGUUUCUAUUCUAUAAAAAAAAAAUCUAUUCAAUAAAACAACCUGUACUAAGAUACCAGAAACAUACAUAACAACAAUAUACUGCAAUAAAUCCUGUUGCUACAAUAUUUAUCAUCAACAGCGCUUGAAAGGACAAGGAGAAACUACUAAAAAACAUUGGCUGUGUCAGUCAGAAGUCUAAAACGAUUCCUAAGUUCUUUGUCCUGAAAUAUUUUACACUAAACAAGAAUAAAAGCAUAGCUGAGGUCUGGAUUCCUCCAUCACUAUGGCCUAAUCGCAGUCUGUCAGGCAUGAACCCCGCUCUCCUGGGUCCCCAACCUGCCUCCUUACCAGGACUCUUCUACUUCCUCACCUUACUUCCUGCUUUGCUACCGUCAUAACUACUACAGCCACUAGAGGGCACCGUCACUAGAAAUGUUAAAUGAGUCUAAUUGCUGCCUGAAAAAAUGACUUAUGUGGGCGUUUUUCAGGAGAGGGCAGUGUCGCAGUAAUACAUCCUGAACAGAGUUCUGGGAAAUCUUAAGCAUCGUAGGGACUUUAAAGUUUUGGUAAAGAAUCAGUAGUCUGUUUGGUUGUUUUGCAUGUUUUCAAACCUACCCUCUCCUUUUUCUUACUUCUUUAAUAGAAACAAGCUUUAAGGUUUAUUGUGUUUUUAUUAUGUUUAACUCUUUUAUGGUGUGUUAGGACUGGCUGAUUGCAGUCUGUACCACCAAGAAGGUUGUAACAAACAUGCACUCGUCUGCCAAAUGAAUGUCAUAUUAUCUUCAGGAUAUAGCAUGAAUGUGAACUUUCAACAUCAUCAUAUUAGAGUGUUUUAACUGUAUGUACUCUUUUCUGCUAAACAUAUUAUAGGCUACAAUCUCAGUGACAUAUUGACAUAUCCCUAAAAUGGCAAGAUUAGUAAAAACUUUGAUGGCAAAUAUUGUUCAAAGGCAACAUAGUUAUGAGAUGUAUAAGGUAUUAUAUAUUCAGCAGAUGCUGUGUUUGUCAGUGUAGCGUAAGGCCGAACAUAAACAGGUACUCAACUUAUUUUUAAAAACACCUUUUUGUCAUUCAUGUGAAUUGUAUUACUACAUAAACUAAUAAAACAUGUAAUACAAAACU